GACGAACGCUGGCGGCGUGCUUAACACAUGCAAGUCGAACGGAAAGGCCCUGCUUUUGUGGGGUUCUCGAGUGGCGAACGGGUGAGUAACACGUGAGUAACCUGCCCUUGACUUUGGGAUAACUUCAGGAAACUGGGGCUAAUACCGGAUAGGAGCUCCUGCUGCAUGGUGGGGGUUGGAAAGUUUCGGCGGUUGGGGAUGGACUCGCGGCUUAUCAGCUUGUUGGUGGGGUAGUGGCUUACCAAGGCUUUGACGGGUAGCCGGCCUGAGAGGGUGACCGGCCACAUUGGGACUGAGAUACGGCCCAGACUGCUACGGGAGGCAGCAGUGGGGAAUAUUGCACAAUGGGCGGAAGCCUGAUGCAGCAACGCCGCGUGCGGGAUGACGGCCUUCGGGUUGUAAACCGCUUUAGCCUGUGACGAAGCGUGAGUGACGGUAAUGGGUAAAGAAGCACCGGCUAACUACGUG
Molecule: ribosomal RNA, 468 nt
Filed under: uncultured bacterium
Lineage: Bacteria
Description: partial 16S ribosomal RNA
Rfam family: Bacterial small subunit ribosomal RNA
Source: RNAcentral